UAGGGAAGAAUUAAAAAAGGUACAAUAAUUUCGUUGGUGAGGUCCAACAAGUUAGUAAGAUUAUGAAAGAUGAACAUGUGACAUUUUAAUGUAUAAUAUAUAUUUUUGUUGUCACUUUCUAAAAUGUUUUUUCAACGUGAAGAAAGAAAGAAGAAGAAUUGGCGAUGAUUGAAUGAGACUGAUGGAAUGGGCCAUGGUCUUGGGUGUCAUGGGUGUCCAC
This 220-nucleotide long non-coding RNA is filed under the name Vigna radiata. Its description in RNAcentral is "long non-coding RNA (VRAD_LNC001434)". The record is from RNAcentral. Lineage: Eukaryota; Viridiplantae; Streptophyta; Magnoliopsida; Fabales; Fabaceae.